Transfer RNA from Ovis aries (sheep), 57 nucleotides. It matches the Rfam family "tRNA", at positions 8 to 63 of the family's 71-position model. From Rfam's summary of the family: Transfer RNA (tRNA) molecules are approximately 80 nucleotides in length. Their secondary structure includes four short double-helical elements and three loops (D, anti-codon, and T loops). Lineage: Eukaryota; Metazoa; Chordata; Mammalia; Artiodactyla; Bovidae. The record is from Rfam.
UGGCUCAGAUGGUAGAGCGUCUGCCUGCAAUGCUGGACACCCGGGUUCGAUCCCUGG